GGUAUAAUUGACAUACAGUGUUGUCUUAGUUUCAGUGUACAACAUAAUGAUUUAAUAUUUCUGUAUAUCGCAAAAUGAUCACCACAAUAGCAUUUCAAUUGUCUGAGAACAGACAAAACCAAAAUCUUCCAUCCAUGAGAAGAUAUCAUUCUCCUUGGCUGGUCAUGCACCAGCAUGAUGAGGUGUGUAUCAGUCUAUUCACUAAACUAAUGACCUGUUAAUUCAGAGCCAAAAAUAGCACUGAAACUGAGAAGGCACUUAGAUCUGAAGGACUGGCUCUAGUCCCAGCUCUGCCCUUAGAAGGGUACCAUUCUUUGUCUCUUCAUCCUUCAAGUGAAGAUGGUGUCACAGAUUACAUUCCCCAAUUACAGUCACGGUAUCUCCCAUUCCAUAUGCUCUUCUUAUUCUUUCCUUUAAUCAUGGGUGAAACUUUGGGACUGCUUCCACCAACAGGAUAUAGUGGAAUCAAUACUGUGUGACUUGAGUCUAGAUUAUAAAAGAACCAUGCAGUUCUUUCAUGGAACAUCAGCUCUUUGAACUCAGCUGCCAUUGUAUGAGGAAGAACAUAAUAGCCCAUGGUAAGACCACCAAGAAAGGCUGUAUGUAGGUAUCCCAGUCAAUAGACAGACAUGUGAGUGGAGACACAUGGCGGGGGGGGGGGGGGGUGUCUAGCCCUUGGCCAUUGUGUCGUCCCUGGCCUUUGAGUCUUUCCAGCUGAGGUCCCAGAUGUCAUGGAACAGAGAAAGUAUUUCCUGCUGUGUCUGUCUGAAAUUCUGACCCAAAGAAACCAUGAAUGUCCUAAGAGGGUUGUCUUAUGCCACCAGGUUUGGGGUGGUUUAUUAUGCAGCAAAAGGAAUGUGAAGGGAUGGUAAUAUUGGUCCUGACUUCCUUACAGUGCUGUGAACAUCAAGUGAGAUUAGUAUGUAUGCCCACACUCUGCACAUUUAAAAAUAGCCUACAAACAAAAGUCAAUAAGCUUGUGUGAAGCAUCUGAACCCAGUUUGAAAAUCACCGUUCUCGGAGUUCCUGUUGUGGCUCAGUGGUAACAAACCUGACUAGUAUCCAUGAAGGUGUGGGUUCGAUCCCUGCCCUCACUCACUGGGUUAACUCUCCAGCAUUGCCAUGAGCUGUGGUGUAGGUCGAAGACAAGGAUAGGCUCCUGCUGUUGCUGUGGCUGUGGUGUAGGCCAGCAGCUACCAUCGUAAUCUGGGAACGUCCAUAUGCCAUGGUUGUGGCUCUAAAAGACAAAAAAAAAAAAAAAAAAACCAUUGUUCUCAUCCAAUCCACUCAUUCUAUGAUGAGAAACAUAGGCCUAGGGUGACUCAUUCAAAAUCACACACUGGCUAUGUGCUUGCUCCAAUUUGCCACGCUGCCUCCAAAAAUGAGAACUAUUUCAGGUAGGACUGUCCUUGUCUGAGAGCCAGAAAGUUGCAAGCAGGGACAAGCAAGAUCACUGUGCGAUAUUUCUUUACAAGCCUCCAUCAGACACUUUGAGCCAUUGCCCAAACAUGCCAAAGACAAGCCUACUUCAUCCCCCUCCCUGCUCCUCUCCCACUCUGUCCUGGUAGCAUAGAUCGUUUCAUCGGGUAAAACAGAAAGAGUAAGCUGCACGUUCCACGCAGAGAUCUGCAGCCUGUCGGCUGGGUGAUGAAUGGAGAUCUGAGCUCAUGUAGAGGUCUGCCUGGCUUGGGUGAAGCUCUGUUUGAUCAGCCGUCAUUGGCAUUCAUGAAGAGUUCCUAAUUGUCACUUGGUGAUGGGGUGCUGCACUGUGGUUAAGUGCGUGGGAGCCUCUCUCACUUAUUAACCUUUAUGUUGCCCCAAAAGCCUUGAGGGCAAAGGCAGGCUGGGAUUCUAAUCAAGUUAUAUUUAAUG
Molecule: long non-coding RNA, 1872 nt
Filed under: Sus scrofa (pig)
Lineage: Eukaryota; Metazoa; Chordata; Mammalia; Artiodactyla; Suidae
Description: lncRNA (ENSSSCG00000055598.1)
Source: RNAcentral